CCUACGGGAGGCAGCAGUGAGGAAUAUUGGUCAAUGGGGGAAACCCUGAUGCAGCGACGCCGCGUGAGCGAAGAAGUAUUUCGGUAUGUAAAGCUCUAUCAGCAGGGAAGAAAAUGACGGUACCUGAGUAAGAAGCUCCGGCUAAAUACGUGCCAGCAGCCGCGGUAAUACGUAGGGAGCAAGCGUUAUCCGGAUUUACUGGGCGUAAAGGGAGCGUAGGAGGACUGCCAAGUCUGAUGUGAAAUACCGGGGCUGAACCCAGGGGUUGCAGUGGAAACUGGCAGGCUGGAGUGCCGGAGAGGCAGGCGGAAUUCCUAGUGUAGCGGUGAAAUGCGUAGAUAUUAGGAGGAACACCAGUGGCGAAGGCAGCCUGCUGGACGGGGACUGACGCUGAGGCUCGAAAGCGUGGGGAGCAAACAGGAUUAGAUACCCGUGUAGUC
Molecule: ribosomal RNA, 440 nt
Filed under: uncultured bacterium
Lineage: Bacteria
Description: partial 16S ribosomal RNA
Rfam family: Bacterial small subunit ribosomal RNA
Source: RNAcentral